GACGAACGCUGGCGGCGUGCUUAAUACAUGCAAGUCGAACGAACAGGCCAUGAUUUUGUUGCGCUGAUGUGAGGCGCAGGCGGGUGUAUCACGUGUGGAUAAUGUACCUAUAUUACUGAUAUAAUUUCGAAAAUCGGGAUAUAAUACGGUAUGAGAUCUUGAACCGCGGGGUGGAUAGGAGAGUGACGGUCGUUCGGGCAGGUAUAGCGGUAUACGCGCUGGAUUAGCUAGUUGGUGAGGUAACAGCUUACCAAGGCAACGAUGCAUAGACGACUGGACAGGGUGAUAGGCCACCCUGGAACUGGGCCACGGACCAGACUCCUACGGGACGCCGCAGUAGCGAAUGUUACGCAAUGGGCGAAAGCCUGACGGAGCAACGCCGAGUGAGUGAUGACGGCCUUCGGAUCGUAAAACUCUGUUAUUAGGGAAGAACAUCUGUGUACGUAACUGUACCCAUCUUGACGGUACCUAAUCAGAAAGCAACGGCUAACUACGUG
Molecule: ribosomal RNA, 497 nt
Filed under: uncultured bacterium
Lineage: Bacteria
Description: partial 16S ribosomal RNA
Rfam family: Bacterial small subunit ribosomal RNA
Source: RNAcentral